CCUACGGGAGGCUGCAGUGAGGAAUAUUGGUCAAUGGACGAGAGUCUGAACCAGCCAAGUAGCGUGAAGGAUGACUGCCCUAUGGGUUGUAAACUUCUUUUAUAUGGGAAUAAAAUGUUCCACGUGUGGGAUUUUGUAUGUACUAUAUGCAUAAGGAUCGGCUAACUCCGUGCCAGCAGCCGCGGUAAUACGGAGGAUCCGAGCGUUAUCCGGAUUUAUUGGGUUUAAAGGGAGCGUAGGUGGAUUGUUAAGUCAGUUGUGAAAGUUUGCGGCUCAACCGUAAAAUUGCAGUUGAAACUGGCAGUCUUGAGUACAGUAGAGGUGGGCGGAAUUCGUGGUGUAGCGGUGAAAUGCUUAGAUAUCACGAAGAACUCCGAUUGCGAAGGCAGUUCACUGGACUGCAACUGACACUGAGGCUCGAAAGUGUGGGUAUCAAACAGGAUUAGAUACCCGGGUAGUC
This 460-nucleotide ribosomal RNA is filed under the name uncultured bacterium. RNAcentral describes it as "partial 16S ribosomal RNA". It matches the Rfam family "Bacterial small subunit ribosomal RNA", at positions 338 to 795 of the family's 1533-position model. The record is from RNAcentral.